This is a non-coding RNA of Actinomyces johnsonii F0510, 293 nucleotides long. NCBI's taxonomy places the organism in Bacteria, Bacillati, Actinomycetota, Actinomycetes, Actinomycetales, Actinomycetaceae. The record is from Rfam.
CGGUGGCGACCUGGGUGGGGGAGAUGAAGUGAAUGUGAGAAUCGAUGCCCCCGGCCGUCAGGAUGCGGUGCUCCCCGGCGAUCACCUCCGUGGAUGUGCCGAUGACGAUAUCGAUGUCGUCCAUGAUGUCCGGGUUGCCCGCGGCGCCGAUGGCGCUGAUGACGCCGUCGCGGAUGGCGACGUCGGCCUUGUAGACGCCGGUGUGGUCGAUGAUGAUCGCAUUGGUGAUGACGGUGUCGGGAAUGCCCUCGUCUCGCGUGCGCUGGCCAUUGUGGCCCAUGCCGUCGCGGAUG